Molecule: ribosomal RNA, 301 nt
Filed under: uncultured bacterium
Lineage: Bacteria
Description: partial 16S ribosomal RNA
Rfam family: Bacterial small subunit ribosomal RNA
Source: RNAcentral
CAGCCGCCGCGGUAAAACGUAGGUGGCAAGCGUUGUCCGGAAUUAUUGGGCGUAAAGGGCUCGCAGGCGGUUUCUUAAGUCUGAUGUGAAAGCCCCCGGCUCAACCGGGGAGGGUCAUUGGAAACUGGGAAACUUGAGUGCAGAAGAGGAGAGUGGAAUUCCACGUGUAGCGGUGAAAUGCGUAGAGAUGUGGAGGGACACCAGUGGCGAAGGCGACUCUCUGGUCUGUAACUGACGCUGAGGAGCGAAAGCGUGGGGAGCGAACAGGAUUAGAUACCCCCGUAGUCCCUGUCUCUUAUAA